Molecule: ribosomal RNA, 505 nt
Filed under: uncultured bacterium
Lineage: Bacteria
Description: partial 16S ribosomal RNA
Rfam family: Bacterial small subunit ribosomal RNA
Source: RNAcentral
GACGAACGCUGGCGGCGUGCCUAAUACAUGCAAGUAGAACGCACAGUUUAUACCGUAGCUUGCUACACCAUAGACUGUGAGUUGCGAACGGGUGAGUAACGCGUAGGUAACCUGCCUGGUAGCGGGGGAUAACUAUUGGAAACGAUAGCUAAUACCGCAUAAUAUUAAUUAUUGCAUGAUAAUUAAUUGAAAGGUGCAAUUGCACCACUACCAGAUGGACCUGCGUUGUAUUAGCUAGUAGGUGAGGUAACGGCUCACCUAGGCGACGAUACAUAGCCGACCUGAGAGGGUGAUCGGCCACACUGGGACUGGGACACGGCCCAGAAUCCUGCGGGAGGCAGCAGUAGGGAAUCUUCGGCAAUGGACGAAAGUCUGACCGAGCAACGCCGCGUGAGUGAAGAAGGUUUUCGGAUCGUAAAGCUCUGUUGUAAGAGAAGAACGGGUGUGAGAGUGGAAAGUUCACACUGUGACGGUAUCUUACCAGAAAGGGACGGCUAACUACGUG